GCACGAUCAAUUGAUUCAUGAAGAAUUUGUUCGAUAACCUCAUUUAAUAGUGGUAUAUAGAGACCACUUGUCUGAAGCCACUUUUGACGGUCCAUAUUAAUAUACUCAUUUGUGAUUGAAUCCUCACACGAAUGGUACUUGAACAAAUGUUCAAUGUUGAGAAACUCUUUUUCAGACUCAAGAAUAUUGGGGUAAUGAGGUGCAUGAAACACCUUUUUUAAUACCCAUUCUUCAGAACCUACUUCUGACAAAUAAGGCUCAUAUGAAUUACAUAUAAUAUCUGUCACUUUCCUGGAAAUCAAUUCAUCUGUGAUUGGCGUUCUCCAGGAAUUAGAUGUAUCAUCUCUCCAUUCUUGUACCAACUCUCUUAUAAGGUCAAUAAUUAGCAGGAUAAAGUUAUCAUCGGGAGGAUAGAUUUCCCCUCGAAUAGAUGACUUGAACCCUAGAUAGCUUGGAUCUUUCAUCACCUUUUCGUGAAUAAAGAAAAGAAGGUCCUCUUCGCUUAGCUCGUAAUAAGCUAAAGCUUCAAUACCUAUGCUAGCUUUGCUUUCCCCCAUAUUAUUUUCGGUACUUCUCUCCAUUUGCUCUAAAAUGAGCUCGGGCAACCUAUUAAAGAUAAUAUUGCAUAAAUUAAUUAUGGAGCUUUCUGACAUGUCAAUUAACUCAUCAUAACACCUGGGAAUUGACUCGAUAUUUUUGUAGUAAAACUCCUCUAAAUUCAAUCCGUCCAAAUUCAACUCAUAAUAAUUCCCAGAGCUUGCAUUUUCAAACCAAUAAUUGUACUCUUCAAUUUUACUUCUAAGUUCUUCAUCUCCCGAGGUGAAAUAUUCAAUAUUUUGUAGUCUAUCCAUAUUGAUAUCCUUCUUAUUUUCGGGAGAGUUCCUUUCUGAGUUGCUAGCACAAGAGUUCAAAAUCGAUAGUCCAUUUUCAUUUGAAAGAUCAAUGUUUUCAAUCGGCAAGUUUUCGAUUCUCUUAAUCAAACUUUCAUUCACCAUAGUUAUAUCUUCCAGCUUGUCAGUUAUUUUGCUGAUCUCUUCGACUGUAACCUCACCGUCCUUAAGGAUUUUAAUAGGUUCCAGAGGAGAAUCCUCCAGUCCAUGCUUUCGUUUGGAAGUCUGCUCAUCUUCGAUAGAAACUACAUUUAAAGUAAUUUUGUCAUCAAGAGCCUUCUGAGGAUCUGUAAUUACAACAGAUAAACAUUCAGUAGCAUCUUCACUUGGAGAAUUACGCACAUCUUUGUUUGAAGGCGUUUUUUGAGCCUCAUCAAUGUAAUCGUUCUCUAAUUCAUGAACGAGCAUCGGAUCCAUUAUUUUAAUUUGCAAAUCUAAAUUAUUCAAAUCACUUUCGGAAACAAUUUCUGGCUCUAUAACUUCUUUUGAAUCUGAAGCAACAGCUUCUGGUGGUACUAAAUGGUCAAAUUGAACUAUUUCAUCAACUGAGCCUUCUAACUUUAUUUGUUUUUCAAUAGGCUCCUGAUCAAUUUGAGAAUUUAGUUCCAAAAUAGACUUGGUAGUGGUAUGUUGAUUUUCACCACUAUUCGGUUCUUUAAUUUCAGAAUAUUCGUAUCUUACUGGGGGUAUACAUGGUAUGAAUGCCUGUUCAACUUCAUUGCUCUGAUAACCAACAACAGGUUUGUCGUAAAUUUCCUUUAUAUGAUCUUGCUUCAAAUCCUUAUUGAAUCCAAUAUUUCUAUAGUGAAUAAAUGGUGUGUCCAAUUCCCAAUGUCGUUUAAUUUUGUGAGUACUUUCCUUUGAGUUAUUUUCAUCACUGGCUUCCUCAGAUAAACACUCUUCUGGCCCAAUAUUCUUAUUCAAAGUAUUUGAAUGCUCUAUUUGAGCCUGAAUUAAUUUCUCGUAAAUCAAAGAGCUAGAGAUAGGCGUGGAACUAACUUCACUUAUUUUUCUAGUUAAUUUCUUACUAUCAU
Molecule: non-coding RNA, 1924 nt
Filed under: Cryptosporidium parvum
Lineage: Eukaryota; Apicomplexa; Conoidasida; Eucoccidiorida; Cryptosporidiidae
Source: RNAcentral